UACGUAGGGUGCGAGCGUUAAUCGGAAUUACUGGGCGUAAAGCGUGCGUAGGCGGUUUGUUAAGUCCGUUGUGAAAGCCCUGGGCUCAACCUGGGAAUUGCAGUGGAUACUGGCAAGCUAGAGUACGGUAGAGGAUGGUGGAAUUCCCGGUGUAGCGGUGAAAUGCGUAGAGAUCGGGAGGAACACCCGUGGCGAAGGCGGCCAUCUGGACCAGUACUGACGCUGAGGCACGAAAGCGUGGGGAGCAAACAGG
Molecule: ribosomal RNA, 253 nt
Filed under: uncultured bacterium
Lineage: Bacteria
Description: partial 16S ribosomal RNA
Rfam family: Bacterial small subunit ribosomal RNA
Source: RNAcentral